RNAcentral lists this ribosomal RNA (523 nucleotides) under Stylocellus sp. Lingga 2. RNAcentral describes it as "eukaryotic LSU rRNA". It matches the Rfam family "Eukaryotic large subunit ribosomal RNA", at positions 666 to 1158 of the family's 3401-position model. The record is from RNAcentral. Lineage: Eukaryota; Metazoa; Arthropoda; Arachnida; Opiliones; Stylocellidae.
CCAAGGAGUCUAACAUGUGCGCGAGUCAUUGGGUCUUGCUCAGGCCCAAAGGCGCAAUGAAAGUGAAGGCCGGCUCGGUCGGCUGCGUUGGGAUCCCGCCCUCGACGGCGGGCGCACCAACGGCCCGUCCCAGUCGCUGCGUCGACGGGGCGGAGUGAGAGCGUACACGUUGGGACCCGAAAGAUGGUGAACUAUGCCUGGGCAGGACGAAGCCAGAGGAAACUCUGGUGGAGGUCCGCAGCGAUUCUGACGUGCAAAUCGAUCGUCAGACCUGGGUAUAGGGGCGAAAGACUAAUCGAACCAUCUAGUAGCUGGUUCCCUCCGAAGUUUCCCUCAGGAUAGCUGGCGCUCGGAGGAAGCAUUCUCAUCCGGUAAAGCGAAUGAUUAGAGGCCUUGGGGCCGAAACGACCUCAACCUAUUCUCAAACUUUAAAUGGGUGAGAAGUCCGGCUUGCUCGACUGAAGCCCGGACGUGAGGAUGCGAGUGCCCAGUGGGCCACUUUUGGUAAGCAGAACUGGCGCUG